ACGUAGGGUGCAAGCGUUGUCCGGAAUUACUGGGUGUAAAGGGUCCGCAGGCGGGUAAGCAAGUCGGUGGUGAAAUCCUGCAGCUCAACUGCAGAACUGCCUCCGAUACUGUUUAUCUUGAGUACGAGAGAGGAUGAUGGAAUUCAUGGUGUAGCGGUGAAAUGCGUAGAGAUCAUGAAGAACACCGGUUGCGAAGGCGAUCAUCUGGCUCGUUACUGACGCUCAGGGACGAAAGCGUGGGGAGCAAACAGGAUUAGAUACCCUGGUAGUCCACGCCUUAAACGAUGGAUGUUCGGUGUCGGUCCCGUUCGGCAUAUUAAAAUGUGUUGAACGGGAUCGGUGCCUGAGCUAACGCGUUAAACAUCCCACCUGGGGAGUACGAUCGCAAGGUUG
RNAcentral lists this ribosomal RNA (393 nucleotides) under uncultured bacterium. RNAcentral's name for it is "bacterial SSU rRNA". It matches the Rfam family "Bacterial small subunit ribosomal RNA", at positions 525 to 896 of the family's 1533-position model. The record is from RNAcentral.